UUAUAUGGUCAAGAAGAGAAGCGCAAACGGUGGAUGCUUGGCAGUAAGAGGCGAAGAAGGACGUGGAAUCCUGCGAAAAGCUAUGGGGAGCUGGAAACGAGCGUUGAGCCAUAGAUGUCCGAAUGGGGGAACCCGGCUGCAGCGAUGCGGUCAUUUGCAUUUGAAUACAUAGGAUGCAAAGGCGAACUCGGGGAACUGAAACAUCUAAGUACCCGAAGGAAAAGAAAUCAAGAGAGAUUCUCCAAGUAGCGGCGAGCGAACGGGGAGGAGCCUGGCGUGAUUUAUUAUUGAACUGAGUAGAACAAUUUGGGAAAGUUGGCCGUAGAGGGUGAAAGCCCCGUAUACGAAGGUUUGAUGAGGAACUAGGCACGCGAACAAGUAGGCCGGGACACGUGAAAUCCUGGUUGAAGAUGGGUGGACCAUCAUCCAAGGCUAAAUACUACUUACUGACCGAUAGUGAACCAGUACCGUGAGGGAAAGGUGAAAAGAACCCCGGAGAGGGGAGUGAAAUAGAAUCUGAAACCGUUUGCGUACAAGCAGUGGGAGCAUAGUUUAGGCUGUGUGACUGCGUACCUUUUGUAUAAUGGGUCAGCGAGUUACUUUCAGUGGCGAGGUUA
RNAcentral lists this ribosomal RNA (617 nucleotides) under Legionella pneumophila str. 121004. RNAcentral describes it as "bacterial LSU rRNA". It matches the Rfam family "Bacterial large subunit ribosomal RNA", at positions 1 to 648 of the family's 2925-position model. The record is from RNAcentral. Lineage: Bacteria; Pseudomonadati; Pseudomonadota; Gammaproteobacteria; Legionellales; Legionellaceae.